GGGCCGCGGUAUUGUGACCGUGCGAAGGUAGCAUAAUCAUUAGUCUUUUAAUUGAAGGCUUGUAUGAACGGUUGGAUGAAAAAUGCUCUGUCUUUUUUUUUGAUUGAAUUUAACUUUUGAGUGAAAAGGCUUAAAUUUUUUAGUGGGACGAUAAGACCCUAUAAAACUUGAUAUAAUUUAUUUAUAUUUGAAGGAUUAAGUGUAAAUUUAAUCUAAAUUUAUUAUAUUCCGUUGGGGAGAUGAUGAUAUAAUUUGUAACUGUUAAAUUAAUUGAAUAAUUAUUUUUAGGGUGUGAUCCUCUACUAGGGAUUAAAAGAUUAAGUUACUUUAGGGAUAACAGCGUAAUUUUCUUUGAGAGUUCUUAUCGAUGAGAGUAGUUGCGACCUCGAUGUUGAAUUAAAAUUUUAGAUUGGUGCAGGUGCUUUUCUGGUAGGUCUGUUCGACCUUUAAAAUUUU
RNAcentral lists this ribosomal RNA (456 nucleotides) under Cainonia medipacifica. Its description in RNAcentral is "partial large subunit ribosomal RNA". It matches the Rfam family "Bacterial large subunit ribosomal RNA", at positions 1928 to 2597 of the family's 2925-position model. The record is from RNAcentral. Lineage: Eukaryota; Metazoa; Arthropoda; Malacostraca; Decapoda; Palaemonidae.